This 806-nucleotide long non-coding RNA is filed under the name Malus domestica (apple). RNAcentral describes it as "long non-coding RNA (MDOM_LNC012563)". The record is from RNAcentral. Lineage: Eukaryota; Viridiplantae; Streptophyta; Magnoliopsida; Rosales; Rosaceae.
UUGAAACUUACUUUCAAUUCUCCCUUUAGUGUUUAUACACGUUUAGGGCUUCCACAAACCACGAGUGACACCUAGCAGCAUAUCAUGGUUACCCAAGCUAAUCAGAAGAGGUGGAGAACCUAUUCAGUUUAGGAUUACAAUGAAAUACGGUCUUUCUCUAAUACAAUACUCUUGACCACAUUGUUUGGUUUGAUAGUUUAUUCAUGUCUACUAUCCAAUGUGAUUCAUUUACUUAUAUGAUUAUCUUGAAUGUGAUUUGGAACGACUUCCUAAAUCUCAUUCAUACUCUGGCCAGAGAUUCUUAAUCAUAUCAUAGAGUAUUCUCCCUUAAACAGUUUGAAGGUUAGAGAUCCCUUGUUGCACAUUCACUUGCCUCCAUGGCUAAGUGGCUUAACCCCAACUAUGCCGUGGACACCCGCGAAUGGAGUGACUUUGACAUAAUCAAAGAUCAAGGACCUAACCACAAGACAACUAUGAUGCCUCAGGUCAAAGGACUACUUUGCAUUAUCCCAACCAUGAGAUCUCAUGUGACAUGAGUAUGAGAACUCUUCGUUGAUCGUGUUCAGUGAACUCAUUCCUUAUUGAGCACCUACGUACUUGUCUUGGUGUCAGUCACACCAAUGACUUGAGACCAGUCACUCUCACUAAGAGAAGACAUAGCACAUGCUGAUCUUAACGGAUUGUCUAUUCCCCAUUUUCUGUUUUCUCUCUCUGCCUUUCGCCGUUUGUGAAGCAGAAACCACAUACAAAGCUCAAAAGCAGCAAAGGGUUAAAAACUGGCGUAUUGUAUCCGACGGGAAGAUCCC